RNAcentral lists this long non-coding RNA (1783 nucleotides) under Neodiprion lecontei (redheaded pine sawfly). Its description in RNAcentral is "uncharacterized LOC124294567, transcript variant X1". The record is from RNAcentral. Lineage: Eukaryota; Metazoa; Arthropoda; Insecta; Hymenoptera; Diprionidae.
GUACAUUUAGUUUCACGUCUACUCGUUCAGAGAGAGGGGACAAACAAACAGUUGUGCAAACAUGUAUAAAUGCACCUUCCUACACCAUACUCGCGGCGUCCAAACAGUUUGAAUAAAAUAUACACCCACAGAGUGAACCGUUUGUCUCCGGUGCCGUUUCCACUACAGCUGCACGCUGUCACUGCCGCCAUUUGUAUUGGUAUAACAUGCCUGGGAUCCUUGUCCUUCAAUUUCUCAAAUUCACGGCACAUGUGUUCCUCGAAUUAUUGGGAUAUGAAAUGUUGAAGGAUCUGCCGUCAGAUGGCAGAAGAAUAUGUUACACUUACCGGGUUGUAUUUAAUUAUAAAACUCGUUUGUGAAUGCAUUUAUUUCACUCGGUACUAACUUAACGGACGUAAACAGAAGUCCAAUCACUUGCAAAAAGUUUUCUGCCUCACUUUGCCGAGUAUUUUAGCCAAAUCGAUCAGCUGUUGUCCCAGUGAGACGCCAUGUUACUGUAGUCACGCCUCUAGCUUUGAUCCGAAUGGCCGCUUUGCAUGUUACACACCUUUCGAUCGGUUCUUUCGAUUCGUUGCAAUCGCUUGUCUGUUACUCGAGACAAAACCGAGAUUACCGAUUCUAUGAGCAAGUUGUUUCUUUUCAUAUGCGUGAAGUCAGUGACAGAAGGUUUCGUGGUUCUUCAACUGAACAGCUAGCUGUCAACUGUUAUUGUUUGACUCUUUGUGUCUCGUCUGGUAUAUUACUUAGUCAAAAUUUUUAACCGAUACAUACUUUUCGCUGGCAGUAAAUUCGAAAAUUCAAAAUUUUUAUCAAAAAUCUCGUUGGAAAAUUUUGUGCGUUACGUACACAAUUGAAUAUCUUCGCAAGCUUGACGGUCUCUACGCGAAAAUCGUAAAAUAUGGCGAAUCAUAGUGUACAGAGAUCCGAGGAUAGUCAACGAGCAAUUUUAUACGGUCAAUAAUAAUGUCGGGAGUAAACGAGGCCCCAAAAUCAACAACGAAUUCCGGUUCUGGUCCAGAUAAAUCAGAUUGUGACGCGUGCUGUAGAGAUUAUACACCAAUUGACGAAACUCUGCUGAACGUACAGGAAGCUUUGGCCUCCUCGCCGUUGGGCUGCACUCCCGAAACUUCUUGUUUAAACUCAACGACGUUGAAGAAGUUGAGAGAAACUGUGACCAAACCCGGAAAUCCACCUGCAAGCAAUAAUACCGGAAAUUCAAAUUGCAAAAGCUGAAAUAUUUGUUGCGAAAAUUCUUCGACGUACCAAACUUUUGUAAGCCAUGCCGGAAUCUGGUCCUGCAGGUUGUACGCGAGAUGAUAACUGUAAAAAAGAUCGACAGCUGAGGUUAGCAGCAGCCGUAGCAAAGAAUUCGGAACCUCAAGCUUCAAAAUCGGUUGCAACGACGGAUGCUGGAAAAUCGUCGGUAAAAAAGGAAGAAAACGUGGCCUCGUCAACAGCAGCAGUAUCAGAAUCGACAGCAGGAGCAGCAAAUUCGGAAGAUGAAAGAAAAUCGGAUUAGAGAUAUAGACACCUCAAUUCUGGCUUCAAGACUCAGAUUUUGAACCGAUACUUUUAGCGGCCGAGACUCAAUUCGAAGUGAUUUUAAAAAACACUGUCACGAGUCCUGUGCGCUCUUUCACGAUUAAUCGAAUCAUCGACUCAUUACUAAUCUAGAAUUAAAAGACUAUAUCCAAUAUCGGGAUAACGAAAAACCUACUCUCGAUAUCGCAAUCCGUAUAUUUUCAACUCUACUGCACAAUUAUGAGCGGAAAAGACGACAACG